RNAcentral lists this long non-coding RNA (5792 nucleotides) under Taeniopygia guttata (zebra finch). RNAcentral's name for it is "lncRNA (ENSTGUG00000020898.1)". The record is from RNAcentral. Lineage: Eukaryota; Metazoa; Chordata; Aves; Passeriformes; Estrildidae.
GAAUCAUAUUAAAAAUUGGCAGUAAAAGCAAAAACAAUAGCAUUUUUAAGAAAAUGAGUAGUUAGUCUGGAAUUUCUUUCUUACGACUGGAUGUUUUGAAUGCUGGAAUGCUACCAUGAAUCAAAACAAAAACCUGGAAGAAUAAAGAAAAAUCCAUUGCAGAUCAUCAGAAGUCAUAUCUCUAGCUUGGUAAGUGCUAGUGCUGCAUAUUGCUAGAGGUUGAGAAAGUACCCUGAGAACAUAUUCACUCCAUGCCUGCUGUCCUAAAUAUAUUUUUAUUAAGCAUUUUCCACUGGCCAGUAUUAGAAGUAGGACACUGGGAGCUAGAAUUUACUUGGUAAUCCCAUGCAGCUGCUUGACAUGGAUGUUUUUCUGUUGUUCUGAAAAUCAUUAUGAUAUUUUUUUUCCUCCACAGAAAGAGCACUUCUGUCCUGUUAAUGCCAGUCCACCUCCUAAGCCCAGUGGUGUGAAUGGAAAGAUGAGAGCUGACUUUAUUAUGAAGUCCAGUGGGAAUAUGGUAGCUGAGAAACAGGCAAUUUGGAAGUGAAUUUACCACCCUGUCAAACAUUUGUCAUAUCUUAAUCCCCCUGACACCUCUCCUGCAGGGAAAUAAAAUAAUAAAAAAGCUCUCUAGCCUUGUUGUUAUUUUAUGUGUAUUGAACCCAAUUAGUAAGUUUUCCCUUCCACCUCUAGAUGUCUAGGUUAUGAGCUUUAUUAAGUUAGAGACAAAGCUUCAAAGUAGCUGGUGACAGCUUUUGCUGGGACUGGAAAAGAUUUCUUUGAAGACACUGUUUCUAAUACUGAAAAAGAAUGUGUUCUUCCUAAGAUUAGUACAUACUUCAGUUUUUUACAUCUGUUACAGUCCACUUCAAAAAUAUGAGAGUGAUUUUUUUUUUUUUUGCUAUCAAUACAACAGUGAGAUAUUUGCUUUUCAGUCAAACCUAAAUAAAAGUACCAGAGUCAAUUUCAAAAUGCCACUUGAAGACAUUUUGUAAACACUGUGCUUUAGAUUAACUUCAGCAUAUGAAACCCUACUCUUAGAGCAUAAUAAACAAAAGCUGGAUCAGUAUCUAUAGUGUCCCACUGCUUUUUCCUCUCUGCAGCCAGGAUCAGAAGUUCUUGAGGAACUUUUUAUUUGACAUCAAAGGGCUUUGUAUCCAAACAAAUUGUGGGAUAUGGUUAAUCUCUGUAACAGCGCUGAUACGGAGUUUGAGACAGUUUUGCAGUUUCAGUUAGUGUGUGGCAGUGUUCAGGACUCUUGUAUUUCUGUAGGCAUUGCUGUCUUGCAGGUUUAACCUUUUUGCUAUUAUGAGCAUUUUUAUUUCAUGUACUUGGCUUCCAGUACAGGCAGGAACUACCAUGAUCUCCUGCCUUCCCUGGCUGGCCAGACCCAUCCAAAUGCAGCAGUUGAUAUGUCUGGGACAACCUGUGUUGAGCAUCAUGGCUGAGAUGCUGGGCUGCCAAAUCAUGGGGUGAAAUCCAGGCUGCCAUGGCUCUGGUGCUGGCAUGGAGCAUCACAUCACAUCACAUCGCAUCACAUCACAUCACAUCUGACAGUGCUGCUGCAUGGAGGUGUCUGUCCAGAUAGAGUGGCACGUCCCUGCUUUUGCUUCUGUCCCUCCCCUGACAGGCUGGAGUUACAGCCAUCUCUUAGGUCUUCAACCAUCAAAAAAUGUUUUUUUUGUGCAGAUAGGUCAGUUCUCCUUGUAUGGCUUUUGCUCCCCCAUCCACAAGCUGUCCAGGUUAUUCCCUCCCCACUGACCAUACCAGCACCUGUGCCUGCUCAGUGCUGCUACCAUGCAGGAACACUGAUAGAAUUUAAAGAAAAUAAGAGGUAACAACCUAUCCAUAACUACUUCAGGAAUAGAUGUUGUGUUUUAAAAGCGUAAUCCUAGGCUCUUAAAACUAUUACUUAAAAAUAAAAAUAAAAAUCUCAAUGAAAAGCAAAGCUGAACCUGUCAUAUAGAAGGUCUGUAGUGUAGUAAUAGUACUAUAUUAGUAUAAUAUAUAUCGCUGUUGAUACUUAAAUAUUGUUCAUAUCUGCACAUUCAACAUCACUUUUUAAAGCUUUUCAUUCAAUACUUUGGAUUGGAAGGAAGGAAGAAAAUAAAUUCCAGCUUUUUAUACCUCUCUGGCAAAGGCUAUAAAUCACUUUUUCUUUAGGGAUGAAUAUGUAAUCUCCUAUAUAAUCUCUGACCUUAAUAAGGAGAUAGAACCACCAAAAGCAAUUUCUCUUGCUAUAAAACUUUGCAUACAUAUACAUUUUAGAGAACCUGAUGACUCUUGAUAGGAGUAUCUGAAGAAAAGCAGAAUUCUCUGAGAGACAAUUCACAAGGUUAAAACUGCCUUGAGUGUUUACAGAGCUAAAUUAGUAGGACGUGGAAUUAGUAUAUUUGAAGUGCAUUUCCCUACCAGUUGAUUUCCUAAGAAGAACAAGUAUUUCUGUACCAUACAGAAGGCAAAUUUGUGGUAGUCCAAACUUUACUUCUGUCUAGGAUGCCUCCUUCAAAUAAGAAAUGGAAGAGGAGAAAGUUUCUAAAACUGGACGUACAUUAAAGGAUCCAAGGAAUGGUAGGUUCAUACUCAGUGCAGAGCCCUGAAUUCAAAGUAAGCACAAAAACUCUUAGGAUGUCAGCUCCACCCUGCUCCUCUGAAAUGUGCAUUAAUAAACUGUGUGGCAGAGUGCCAGCGAUGACAAAGAAGGAAAUAAUAACUGUAUAAUUGGUAAUGUCUUUUUUUUCCCCCCAUGCAAAUGGUAACUUUGGUCUUCGGUAGAUUUUGUAGUCUAAUUCCAUAUUGCUGUGGUUCAUGUUCAAAAUGCAGAGCUUCAGUAAUUCAAGGUAUAUAAUAGACACAUGUGUUGAUUUUGAAAAUAAUUUUACUCUUAAAAUUCCUUUUCCUCCUUUGCUUUCUCUAUUGGUAGAGAAUUCCCAAGUCUGAGGCUUGCAUAGGAUACCAUUUGGUGUUCUUUACUUAACACAAAGACUCCAUGAGUAAAACCGAUUUGCCUCAUGAUCACAGAAUAUUCUGAGUUGGAAGAGACCCAGAAGGAUCAUCAUGUUCCACACUUAAGUGAAUGGCCCAUACAAGGAUCAAACCCACCACCUUGGUGUUACCAGCACUGUGCUCUGAGAAACUGAGCUAAUCAUGUCCUGUGAAACCUCUUCAGAAACAUCUUCAAAUAGGGAUUAAUUAAAUUUGGUUAAUCACUCACUUGUGUCAGUACAAUUGAAGCAGGAUUCAUCUAAAUUUAAGCAAGAGGAAAAGCUGGCCAACAUGGGCCAUUAAAGACCAUGGACCAGGGUGCUUGGCAGGAUUUUGGCUUCAAAGCAGGCUUUCGGCCCAGAGCCAGCCCACGGUUUUGUAGUGACACAGACCGAAUGAACGUUCUGCUCCAACAUGAUGGUGUUGGUGGCUUGUCCUUCACCUCUGCAGACUGCACCACUCAGGAUGGGGAGCAGAGGUUAAGUCCCAGGAGGGAUUACAGGAAAGAAGACAGGAUGGUAAGGGGAAGUUUUAGGAGGCAAAAUGUUACAGCCAUAACGUGGCAGAGCACGGAGAUAGGCUGGAGUCACAGAGCUCUGGGGAGGAGGGAGGUCUGUGUGUCUCCCCUCACUCAUAUGUGUUACCUUCUCUGCUGAGCAGGGCUGUUCUUCCAGCCCAGCAUGCAGGUUGUUCUCCCUGCUGGAGUGAGAACAGGGCUGGAAGCUGCCCUCCUUCCUCUCCCAAACCAUGCACUGCCCCCAGUGUGAGGAGUAGCAGAGGUUGUUCAAGCAGCAGUGACCUUUCAGUCUCCAGAUUUUUGAAUGCCUCAGCAGCCACCUACUCCAUCGACUUCUUUUGCAAUUACAAAGAUUUUCUACUCUCAAAUUGUCUAUUUCAUACCUGAGUGGUUCUAAUAUUUUUUUACAAGAAUAACUUUAAUUGCAAUGCUUUUCUUGGUUUCAUCUACAGUAUCAUUAUGUAGUGCAAAAGAUUGGAUUCAGCAACCAUAAGUGUUAAAAAUACUAGGUUUGCAGUGGAAUUCUGUGAAAAUGUGAAUAUGAUAUAAGCAAGGGAUUAUUUGAUUUCAUUUAAUGAGUUUGGUUAGAUUCUUAUUUCACUUUUGAUGAUGCUGACUCCUGGACUCCAGAUAUUUCAUGUUUAAAAGUCAAGGGAGUGUCUUCUCCAUAGAAUCACACCUAGGAAAAAAGCAUCUAGAAAAAAUAGAUACAUUUGGUUUGUUAGAAUCAGAAUAGGAAGAAGAAAAGAUUUGGUAAAUUCAGCCUCAAACUUCCGAAUAAAUGAAAGCAAUUAUAUUAGCUGUUUUACAUGGCAAGAAAAUGAAAGUUACUGUAUUUAUAACAAUGCAUAAAUCUAAACCCAAAAAUUUCCUUAAUAUUCCUUAAACCUGAUCAAGUAAGGCCUCACGUGUUAAAGCUGAAGAUGAUAUAAAGCAGUGGCCAUAAUUUAAAAACCCAACAUAUGUUUACAUUUCAUUAUUCAUAAAAGAUAAUUUCUGGUUUUCAUUAUAUAUAUAACUUAUUUUUUCUAGGUAAGUCUUUCAUAAUAUCAGAUGGUGAUGUAAGUUUAAAGGUAACAUAUUUUAAAGAAGUUAGUGGAGAAAUAAUAUAUUUAUUAUACAUAUUACCCUCUGAAAAAUCACAGAAUUGAUCAAAGCAACAAUGAGAAGGGAAAAAAAGGAGAUGUAAUUUUAAUUUUUUCUUUUAACUGUGGUAGCCUCUCUUUUAACAGGUGAUAGUAUGAAAUUAAUGUCAAACAUAGUAUAGGCAAACAUCACUCAGAUCCUCCAGAUGAAGCUUCUGGCUGGUAUCUUAGAAAAACCCUUGUGUUUGGUCUUUCAAAUCUUAUGCUAUAUUGCAGAAAUAUCCUGUAUCUUUUCCAAAGAUAUUCCCCAGGGUGUUUUAGAUGCCAGUCUGUUAUGUUUAGAAAGCUCUUGACUUGCUCUUACAUGAGUUGGCUCUCCAAGAGAAUAGUGGUUGUAUCAGACACAAAAACUGGUCCUUGGUUUGUGCAAUGGUGUGGCUUUGCCUUCAGUGUUUACAGACAUUGCUACAAUAUGUUUGACAUUUCAUAAAGGCUCACAUCAUCCAGAUCAAUGCUGAGCUGCCACAACAGCCAGAAAUAUCUGUAAUUAGAAACACGAUCAGGUAUUGAAAAUUGAAUGUAGUCUUCUCAAUGUGUCAACCUCUUUAAUAUGAGCAAUUUUGCUUGCAUGCUUGGCAAGACUGAAAGUGUUCUUUUGGCUAGUACCCAUUUUCUUUAUAUGUAGCUUAAUCUUAAAUCUUAUACUUUAAAUCUUUCUGUCAUUUGAUGUGAAUCCAGAAUACUUCAGUUCCUAUUCCCUACUGCUUUGUAGCUGUGCUCUGAGAUUGAUGCUACGUUCCAACCAAACUGUGGAUGUGUUUCAUUAGAAAAUAAUGUGACCAAAAUGAGUAAACACAGGGUUUGUAAAAGUGCUUGGGGAUCAUUCAUGAUAAAAGUGCUGUGCUGCAAGUAUAUAUUUGCUGGCCUGGGUAAACACUACUUGCUGAUUUCACCACCUGAAAGAUACAGCAAAGUUGACUAGAUAUUGUAUGGAACAGAAUAGAUCUCUGGAGAUUACCCAAACUGAUAUGAGACCAGAUAUUUAAAUUUUAAAUUUUUUUCAUCACCUUAAACUAAAAAAGGAAUUAGAAUACUUAAAAUUCCUAUCUAGACACAAGUGUAGAACCUCACAUUCAUCCUACUAUUCAGUUUAUUAAACAGUUCUUCAGACUAAUGUGGCCUUUUCAGUAUUCUUUAAAAAAAAA